Long non-coding RNA from Hipposideros armiger (great roundleaf bat), 1268 nucleotides. RefSeq lists it as uncharacterized. The transcript is spliced from 3 exons. The record is from RefSeq and is a predicted model, not a curated record. NCBI's taxonomy places the organism in Eukaryota, Metazoa, Chordata, Mammalia, Chiroptera, Hipposideridae.
UUAGCAGUGUCCCGUACAGCUGGAGAAGCCAGGAACUCAUUCAUCACUCUGUUUUCCCCAUAGGAGGGAUCCCAGGUCUCCUUUUUCUCUAAGCUUUGCUGCAUUGGAAGAGGGUGGAUAUUCACAAAGUUCCUCUCACCCACUCCAAUGCAUCAAACUCUUUUUCUUUCUUCCAGUGAAAUGCUGAAACUUCUCCUCUAGAAAUCUGAACUUCUAUACAAGUUCUCUUGUUCAUGGGUAACUGCCCCAGUCAAUGUUUCUCAGCCAAAACUUACUGGAAAUGGUUCCCAAGUUCCCAAGUUUCAAGCCAUACUGGGGUCUACCUACCUAUUGCCUGAUGCACAGGUGAGUGAGAUGCCCCCCAUGUCCUUUGGCGCAUGGUACUGGAUACCAUAGCACCCACAGAGACACUUAUGUUCAAGGAUAGAUGCCAAAUUUCAGAGGAUAAAGAGAGGACAAAAAUGAAGGAUGUCUUAUGCCACCAUGAUGCUGAUGUCAUCCUGUAACUUUUAUAAUUUAAAUUAACUUAAUUUUAUAUUUGUUUGUAAUAAAAAAUCUAUCAAAUGAAUUUGUACCUUUCUCAGAGGAAGAACCUAUCCACAUUUAUAUUUCUUAGGUCGGCAUUUUUUUAAAGGUAGUGAUAAUUUUAGUCGUGGUUUAGCCUCAGCUCUAUAUUUUGUCAUACACAGUUUGAUAUUAGUUACGUAUUACUUAGUUUGAACUUCAAUGUUAAAGACACUAGCUCUAGAGGAAAAUCUGUAGCACCAUUCAUUUCACACAAUGUAUUCCCCUUUCUUCAGAUUCUUAUUUUCAACUAUUCAUUGGUUGGCUGGAUUUCUUCAACAAGUAAUUUAUUUUCAGAAACAGAUAUGAUGUAUUUAAGUUCUUAAUGGUUUUACAUUUGCAUGAGAAUGGGUGUUAGAACUUGGCUUACUCACUGUUUUCCUCAGACAGUGUAGACAUUUAACUUUUGUUUUUAGCAAUUGAUGUGACUGUGGCAAAGUCUAAGGCUGGAUGUUUUUCUUCGACAAUUUGAUGCAUCAAGACCUGUGUUAUCUAGGUAUUAUUUUCAUGACUUUAUAGUUUCAUGGUGUUAACCAAACUCAGGUUCGGUGCCGCUUGUCCACGGAAGAGCCCAGAACACGAGUCUGACAAGGGUUAGUGAGGAGAAAAGCCCCUUUAUUCUAGAUGCCAGCAGCUAAAGAAGAUGGCAGACAUUUCUAAAACACCACCUUUCCUGAGGCCAACUGAUUCAGAGGCUUUAAAGG